This 3778-nucleotide long non-coding RNA is filed under the name Strigops habroptila (Kakapo). Its description in RNAcentral is "lncRNA (ENSSHBG00005012012.1)". The record is from RNAcentral. Lineage: Eukaryota; Metazoa; Chordata; Aves; Psittaciformes; Psittacidae.
CAAAUAUUAAAUCAUUUUAGUUUAUACAAAAAUAUCAGUUUAGAUUGAUAAUUGUUAGUCCUGGUGUGGCUUUCUGGUGUUUCUAUAAGCCUUUACAAAACACAUCUUAAAAUGUGUUACUUCCAUAGAGCUGUAACCGCUAUUUACGCACUAUUAUUCCAACACCUUACUGUUUUUUUUCUUGUAGAAAUUCUACGAUAAUCCCAUACAGUGGAAGAUUUCCCGGACUGUUUCAUCAUCAGUGUUGUCUUUAAAAAUAAUUACUUUUGUAAGAAGUCAUUAUUUGUAUUCGUUUUUAAAAUUCUGACUUCCACAAAAUACAUAAUCUUAACAGUGUUUUAUAGUAGGAAGUGUGUGAUUUUGAAAAUGGCGAUGACAAAGCUAUUGAUAGAAAAGGACUGAUUACUGUCUGCAACCUGAAUCAAUAGUCCGUGCUCAGUUAUAAUGAGGCCUAAGUGCAACCCACUGUAAGGCCAGGGUGAAAUGUGAUUUCAGUGUCAGAGAAAACAACAGAAAGAGAAAAGGUCUUCCUCCUUGGCUUCAUGUCCUGCAGAGACGAAGAUCUGAAAGUGGACAAAAAUUUUGUGUGUGUUGACUUCUUUCGUUGAUCUGUCGCCAUUUAACUCCCAGACUUGCCUUUCCAUACAGCAAAAGAGCAAGUCCCCAGGGACAGCAGAGUGGCUGUGGCAGUGCAAUUGCUAUGCAUUCCUCAGGGAUUGGAGAGGUUCAGGCUCUGGGCUGUGACUGUGAGAAAACAGGAGCAAACCGUGGUGAUUCCUGGUCUGUAUGCCUCAUUUAAUUCCUUACCUGUAAGGCCAGCCACACUGUGCUUUGCUGCAGAGCCAUGUGGCAUGGUGCAUGAGACAUGAACCUUUGUGAUGGGAUCGCUGUCAAGUGCCCAGACUGCACUGAUUCCACCCCCAGUUGACGCAAAGGCCUGUGCAGAUCAUAGGCUCUGGGACAGAAUCACACUGCUCUGGAGAGCCAGCUGAACGCAUUGCUGUCAUGGAUUGGCACAAGGUCAGUGUUUAGAGAAGUGAGAGAAUUGAAAAUAUCUCCUUAGUUUUCCAUAACCCUGAUGCCUUGUGGGUUACAAAGGACAAAUAGCCAGUUGGUUGUGAUGCUAGCUCUCAAUUUGACUCCAUGUGUUUGAAGCUAAAACAAGUAUUUUAUAACAAGCCUCUUCCAUUCCUACUAGUGCGUGACCCCAUCAGAGCUGCAUCUUAAACAUAAAUCCUUUCGGAUUCUUUGCCAUCUAAGCCAGGUAUGUUUCUGUUCCUCCCACAUAAUUUCCUGUGUGGUUGGUACUGAAUUAAAGACUUGAUUCACAAGGAUGGGAAAAGAAUAGAUGACUCUAGCACACAUAAUGUUUUCAAGCACAAAUUAAUAAUUGGUGUGCCGGAGCAUUUGUAGGAAGUAACUUUUAUAGUGGUGAGAUAAAUUCAUAUAGUCUCCAAAGCUUUGGCAGAACCAAGCCCUGAAGUCCCUCUGUGUGGAUUUCCGUGAAGUAACUUGUGUUUGAUUUAGGUUGUAUCUUUCAUUUAAAUAUUGCCAGAGGCAAGGAAUCUGUGAGCAAUCCAGGAAAACUGUCCAUGUGAUAGUUCCCUCACUGUUGGAAACCCUUGCUUCUGCUCUGGACAGGCCUACUCAUGACAGCUUCCAGCUGUGGGAUCUCUCCUGCUUUUGUCUUGUGGAUGAUCAAACUUUUACUCCCAACCAGGACUCAGCUCAGCCCACAGCCAUCUCUUUAAGAGACUGAAGAGAUUGAAAUCUUGCAGUCUGUCACCAAAAGGCAUCCUAUUCUGAUUUGUAAGCACUAGUGUGCACGUUUUCUCUAUUUCGUCUCCACCUUAUCUGUUGGUCUGUGCUGCACAUACCAGACAUGAACAUGGUAUUCCAGCUGUUAUCACACUAAACCCAAAUACAGACAUGAUACAGCUUAUUUUGCUGAUGCCACAUUUAAGAAGCUGUUUAUCCCUCUCAGAUACUGUAACUCUAAAGCCUGGAAACUCAGGUUCAGCUGUGAUUCUCAUGCCUUUUUCAGCAUCUCCGACCCUUCCCCUCCAAUGCACAUAACGCCUAUCUUAAAACUAUGCUUUAUUAUUCCUACAAUAUGAUUUUUAACUUGGAUCAUGCUCAAACGUGUGUUGUUCACCCAAAUGCAAUUUUGCAAACUGGUUUGCUCCGCACCAGUGACACAUUCUUUAAUUUCCACCUCUUCUCUCUGUCUUGGUGUCAUCUGCAGAACUUUGUAGUAAUCCUUUUGUUUCUUGACAGUCCUUGAUAAAACAUCAGUUGGUGCAGAUAAAGAAGUGACCGAGCAGGGUUAUAGGAACAUUUUUUUCGGUUCAAAAAUUGUUGAUAAGUAGAUGCCGCCUUGAAAAUUCACGUCAUGCACUAGCCAUCCCAGGGUGGGAAAGGGCUAGAGGGAAAAUAAACAACUUGGACAAACCCCAGCUGAUUACCAGGGUCUGCCAGCGAGCAAAGGGAAGGGGUGCAAGGACUGAGGAGACUCUGAGCCAAACGUCCCAGGGUGGCACCUAGGGAGCAGUGCGGGCUGCCUGCAGUGCCCGAGCGCCCUUCCAGGAACACCAUGGUGCUGUGUUAGGGAUGAUUAGUUAGACAACCAUUGUGUAUGUGUCAUGCUGGGUUUAUAUUGUUCCGGUUUCUUAAUCAAUGUGUCCUGCUGCAACAAGUUGAAGGCCUUAAAGAAGUCCAGCAGUUUUGCAUCAGCUUCAUUCCAUUUAUCGCUCAAUCUUGUAAUCUCCUUGGUGAAAGAUAACAAGUCAGUUUGAAAGGGCCUCUUCCCAUAAACUCCUGUUGAUUGGCGUUAAUUAUGUCUCCCUCCCUUAAUUCUUUGUUAAUCUAGAUCCAUAUGAGUCAUUCCAUUUUACUGCUGGGACUCGUGUCAGGAGACAAGCCUAUAAAUACUUAGAUCUUUCUACCUUUUCCAAAAUCUUUCCCAACAUCUGCUUUCCUUUGGAGCUUCCCCACUGCCCAGAAAGUUACUGGGGAUCACACACAGCUGUCGUGCUGUGCUUGUGCAUUGAAGACAUCCUUGCUAAUCAGCCUGACAAAGCCAGCUGCAGUAUAUAUUCCACUGAAACAAGGGGGUUUUGUACAAUGAAUUAACUCUACAACCAUAAACUACCUUUGCAAAAGCAUGGGAAGAAAUAUUUCAUUUGCAUGUUUAUUUUGAGUUUCUGUAUCACAACCUACACAACUGUGCCUACAAAGGGCCUUUUUUACAUGCAUGGAUGAUUUAAAAAAGAUGAUUUAUAGAAGACCAGCCAGAGGGAUGCACAGCACAGAUGGGUUUUAUGUAUGGUUCCCAGCGUGGUGCUUCAUAGCACCUUUGUUCUAGUGGUAAACUACCUUUUGCCUUCCAUUCUCCUCAAACAAUGACAGAAACCCAAGAGAUGAACAGUGCCAUACUUAUUACUGUUACUGUAGAUGUGUAAUAAUAUCAUCACUUUUUUGUUUGUUUGUUUCAGAACAUCAAGGAGAUGACAAAUAGAUAACAUAUUCGGGCUUGUUUAAUAGCAAAAGGUAUCUGAAAUUGCUGGUGAGGGCCAGGUUCCCCAUGGCUGCCCCUGCGCAAGCCUGGCUGGCACUCCCCGCAUGAAGGACAUGCUCCCAGCUCAAGCUUUGGAGGAACGGGGAACGGGACGUCUUCAUCCCAAAAUAGUAAGGGCACAUGCUCUGCUUCUUCCCAGCCACGAGUGCCAGUCACAGCUUAGCCUUUUUUUCACUGAUGACAAUAAACAUUUUGGGAUUA